Long non-coding RNA from Grammomys surdaster, 599 nucleotides. RefSeq lists it as uncharacterized. The transcript has 3 exons. The record is from RefSeq and is a predicted model, not a curated record. NCBI's taxonomy places the organism in Eukaryota, Metazoa, Chordata, Mammalia, Rodentia, Muridae.
CCCCGCCCAUCCCGCAUCUGCCUUUCAUGUGGAUCAAGGCCUGGAAGAUGACAAGCCUCCUGACUGAUAGAUACACCGAGGCUUCGCUGGUGAUUUAUUGGCUUUCUGCACCUGACGAGAACCACUAGGCUUAUCCGAAGACGGAAAUAUAUGGGCUUUCCUAACUCUAAGUGGCAACCCCAGGGCGAGCAUGUGAUGUCAAGCUGGGCCGUGGAAAGCAGAGCUGUGCACCAGCCUGUGUUUUAAAUGACACUAAUAUUGAACAUGACGCAGGGAGGAUUACUACAGGAAGCAAAAUUCUACCCCGACUCAAAGAAUGAUGGAAGUCGUACUAAGAAGUCCCUAAGCAAGGGAGAGGCUGAAGCCUGCAGCUCACAGCUCACCUGGAAUGCCUCUGGCUGCUGAAGGCCUGGAUGGAGACGCUGAGACAACCUGAUGAAUCAUCUCAUAAACAGAGCCUGCAGGAAGGAAAAGAAAAUUAUGCCAGCAGAAUGCACUUAUGGGAAAUAGAUAUGUGCGGUGCAGGGAGAAAUGCUUUGAUAUUAAAAUUUUUUGUAACUUAAAAAGGCAUGAAAAAUGAUACCGACCACUAAUCAACA